GUCUCUGCAAACACGUACUGGCUGCCCAGGUAGGUGCAGGCAAAGGCGGCCACCACGGUGACAAUGAAGUUGAAGAUGGUGAUGACAACGGCUUUCACGGAGCGAACUGGGGACACAGGGGUGGAGGAGCUGGUUUUAGGAACACCUCAGUGCAUGGAAACCUCCUGGUGAGAUAUUCCGAGAGGGAAGGGCUGUCACCAGCUGGAGAUGGAACAGUUCCCAUGCCUGGCCUGCCACAUGCCAACAGGACAGGGAGCCACUCACCUUGCCUCCCAAAUUCAGCCAAUGGCCCAUUCAUCUCCUGAAAGAAGGGAUUGAAACAGCUUGUGAUCACUUGUAUUUUCAUGUUAAUAUGUUAAUGUUAUUACUGUGUGUGCAGAAUAAAAGCAAUGCCAAUGCCC
This is a long non-coding RNA of Melospiza melodia melodia, 401 nucleotides long. RefSeq lists it as uncharacterized. The record is from RefSeq and is a predicted model, not a curated record. The transcript has 2 exons. NCBI's taxonomy places the organism in Eukaryota, Metazoa, Chordata, Aves, Passeriformes, Passerellidae.